RNAcentral lists this ribosomal RNA (468 nucleotides) under uncultured bacterium. Its description in RNAcentral is "partial 16S ribosomal RNA". It matches the Rfam family "Bacterial small subunit ribosomal RNA", at positions 28 to 507 of the family's 1533-position model. The record is from RNAcentral.
GACGAACGCUGGCGGCGUGCUUAACACAUGCAAGUCGAACGGAAAGGCCCUGCUUUUGUGGGGUGCUCGAGUGGCGAACGGGUGAGUAACACGUGAGUAACCUGCCCUUGACUUUGGGAUAACUUCAGGAAACUGGGGCUAAUACCGGAUAGGAGCUCCUGCUGCAUGGUGGGGGUUGGAAAGUUUCGGCGGUUGGGGAUGGACUCGCGGCUUAUCGGCUUGUUGGUGGGGUAGGGGCUUGCCCAGGGUUUGAAGGGUAGCCGGCCUGGGAGGGGGACCGGCCACAUUGGUACUGAGGUACGGCCCAGACUCCUACGGGAGGCAGCAGUGGCGAAUCUUGCACAAUGGGCGGAAGCCUGAUGCAGCAGCGCCGCGUGCGGGAUGACGGCCUUCGGGGUGUAAACCGCUUUCGACUGUGACGAAGCGGGAGUGACGGUAAUGGGUAAAGAAGCACCGGCUAACUACGUG